Molecule: ribosomal RNA, 253 nt
Filed under: uncultured prokaryote
Description: partial 16S ribosomal RNA
Rfam family: Bacterial small subunit ribosomal RNA
Source: RNAcentral
ACGGAGGUUGCAAGCGUUGUUCGGAAUAACUGGGCGUAAAGGGAGCGCAGGCGGCUUGGUAAGUCUAAAGUGAAAUUCCAGGGCUCAACCCUGGACGUGCUUUGGAUACUGCCUGGCUUGAGUACGUGAGAGGAGAUUGGAAUUCCAGGUGUAGCGGUGAAAUGCGUAGAUAUCUGGAGGAACACCGGUGGCGAAAGCGGAUCUCUGGCACGUUACUGACGCUGAGGCUCGAAAGCGUGGGGAGCAAACGGGA